This 496-nucleotide ribosomal RNA is filed under the name uncultured bacterium. RNAcentral's name for it is "partial 16S ribosomal RNA". It matches the Rfam family "Bacterial small subunit ribosomal RNA", at positions 29 to 507 of the family's 1533-position model. The record is from RNAcentral.
AUGAACGCUGGCGGCGUGCCUAAUACAUGCAAGUCGCGCGAACAGACGAGGAGCUUGCUCCUCUGACGUUAGCGGCGGACGGGUGAGUAACACGUGGAUAACCUACCUAUAAGACUGGGAUAACUUCGGGAAACCGGAGCUAAUACCGGAUAAUAUAUUGAACCGCAUGGUUCAAUAGUGAAAGACGGUUUUGCUGUCACUUAUAGAUGGAUCCGCGCCGCAUUAGCUAGUUGGUAAGGUAACGGCUUACCAAGGCAACGAUGCGUAGCCGACCUGAGAGGGUGAUCGGCCACACUGGAACUGAGACACGGUCCAGACUCCUACGGGAGGCAGCAGUAGGGAAUCUUCCACAAUGGGCGAAAGCUUGACGGAGCAACGCCGCGUGAGUGAUGAAGGUCUUCGGAUCGUAAAACUCUGUUAUUAGGGAAGAACAAAUGUGUAAGUAACUAUGCACGUCUUGACGGUACCUAAUCAGAAAGCCACGGCUAACUACGUG